This 603-nucleotide long non-coding RNA is filed under the name Nicotiana benthamiana. Its description in RNAcentral is "long non-coding RNA (NBEN_LNC011678)". The record is from RNAcentral. Lineage: Eukaryota; Viridiplantae; Streptophyta; Magnoliopsida; Solanales; Solanaceae.
CCCUCUCCAGCGACCCCCAUUAAGGCAACCCCUCCCCUUUCCCGAGCUACGCAGCCUUUUUUUUUUUUCAGGUACAAGCCGCGGCGGACAAGGAGAGCUUACGACAUUUGGACACGAAGAGCAAAGCAACACCGGACGAAGUGUGCAAGAGCUAGCGGUAGUUGAUAUCGGGCGAAUCAAAGCAUACUUCCAGGUUUUUCCAUCGGGAGAGUUCUCUCUCUUUUGUCUCUCUCCUUUAUCUUCACUACCCAACCCUCACCCCCUACCCCUACUAACCCUAGCUCCGGCGACCCCCCUCUCCGGCGACCCCCAUUUAGUCAACCCCUCCCCUUUCCCGAGCUAGGCAGUUUUUUUUUGCAAGCCGCGGCGGACAAGGAGAGCUUAUGACAUUUGGAUGCGAAGAGCAAAACAACACCGGAGGAAGUGUGCAAGAGCUAGCGGUAAUUGAUAUCGGGCAAAUCAAGGCAUACUUCCAGGUUUUUCCAUUGGGAGUUGGUACCUCCCGACCUCCCUUUUUUUACUCUGUACACCCUUUUGCGUUUUCUAUCUAAGCACCCUGUGUGUGGUUUACUUUGUCGAUUCCUAGCUUGCAUCCUUUUGNNN